RNAcentral lists this long non-coding RNA (242 nucleotides) under Carica papaya (papaya). RNAcentral's name for it is "long non-coding RNA (CPAP_LNC012813)". Lineage: Eukaryota; Viridiplantae; Streptophyta; Magnoliopsida; Brassicales; Caricaceae. The record is from RNAcentral.
AUCUAUUAUUUGUUGAUGAAAAUCUGUAUGUGAAAGACUUUCUGGUUACCUAGAAAAAGGACGGACGAGCCCGGUACAUAGGGGACCCUACCGUGAAUGUUACCUCAGUCGGACGAAAUUGGGAAGUCCCUUACUGGAUAGGUUUGGGAGAUAUGGUUCAGCCUCAUACCGGACGGGAUAUCGAAGUGAUGGAAUGUUUGACGCUCAUUACUGGACGGGGUAUGGGAACAGUCAGUUAAUUA